This 251-nucleotide ribosomal RNA is filed under the name uncultured bacterium. RNAcentral describes it as "partial 16S ribosomal RNA". It matches the Rfam family "Bacterial small subunit ribosomal RNA", at positions 524 to 776 of the family's 1533-position model. The record is from RNAcentral.
UACGUAGGUGGCAAGCGUUGUCCGGAAUUAUUGGGCGUAAAGCGCGCGCAGGCGGUCCCUUAAGUCUGAUGUGAAAGCCCACGGCUCAACCGUGGAGGGUCAUUGGAAACUGGGGGACUUGAGUACAGAAGAGGAAAGCGGAAUUCCACGUGUAGCGGUGAAAUGCGUAGAGAUGUGGAGGAACACCAGUGGCGAAGGCGGCUUCUGGUCUGUAACUGACGCUGAGGCGCGAAAGCGUGGGAGCAAACAGG